Molecule: long non-coding RNA, 669 nt
Organism: Gorilla gorilla gorilla (western lowland gorilla)
Lineage: Eukaryota; Metazoa; Chordata; Mammalia; Primates; Hominidae
Exons: 3
Source: RefSeq, a predicted model, not a curated record
GCCUGACCGCGCUGCUCCCCCACCGGUGGGAGACUGGCUCAGCUCCCAGGGCAGUGGGUGAGGUGCAGGUGGCGCAGCACUCGGGCCAACCUGGCACAAAUGAACCUGACGCUCCUAGGGCCGGCCCUGCGUGUUCCAGCUGCGCUGUCGGCCAGGUAUUUACCUCCCCCAGCAUGCAGUGGGAAGUGAGGUUGAGGCCGCGGUGGAGGCUGGGCACGAGAGCAGGUGCUGCCCGGCCAUGCGAGGGUGGGGGUGGUGCAGUCGGCUGCCUCGGGGACGCGGGGUACAGGGGACCCACCGCCACCACUGCUGCUCUCACAGCUGCUCCUGCUGCCACCUCUUGCGCCUCCCCACUGCAGCCCACAUGAUAGCAGCGGCCCCUCCGGAUGGCCUGCCGCUGCCAUCAGCAAGAUCUUCUGUAACCUGAUUCUUUUGUCUAACCCAUCACCUAUUAAGAAAGAACGUGAGCCAUGGUGAUGGAAGCCUCUUCCAAACCAAAGUGCUUAAUAAGUGCUCGUGAGGACCAUACAAUGUGGAAGGAACCUGGGUCCCUGAAAAUUCCCACAGAAGGCUACUGACCAAGAAAUCUUUCAACAGACUGUGACAGAAGCAAAAACUACAUUUUUAUUGGGUUAAACUACAGAGAUUUCUGGGUGUAUCUGUUACAGC